This is a long non-coding RNA of Neofelis nebulosa (Clouded leopard), 1405 nucleotides long. RefSeq lists it as uncharacterized. Lineage: Eukaryota; Metazoa; Chordata; Mammalia; Carnivora; Felidae. The transcript has 3 exons. The record is from RefSeq and is a predicted model, not a curated record.
ACAUAUACAUGCAAUUUAAGACGAUGUUGUUUUCCUCACUGUAAGAAUGAUACAUAUUCAAUAUAGACAUUUCAAAAAUACAAAAAGUAUGAAAAGGAAAAGUAGCCAUUAAUAUUUUGAUAUGUAUUCUUUCAGGUUACUUAUGUAUUUAUAUGUUCCUAUAUAAAUAAAGCUAUAUGUGAGUAUAUUUAUGCACACUCAGUUUUUCACAUUACUAAAGUUGCAGUGUGCAUACUACUUUUGUAAAACUGUAGACUGUAAUCAUUUCCCCUAUAUCCUUCAAUACUCUUCAAAAACAUUAAUGGUGUAUUGAUAUCAAUUGCUACACAUUUAGGUUUUUCCGGUCAUUUUUCUUAUAACAAAUUCCUCUACAGUAGACAACUUUGAACCUAAACCCUGUGUACAAGUCCACCAAAUUUCUUUGAAUCCAUUUCUAGAAUUUCCAUAUAUCUUGAACAAUGUUCAGUGUAAUACUCCUUUAAAUUCUUCCCAGGUAAAGAGUGGUAUUUCAUUAUUGAUUUAGGAUACGUUUCUUUAACUGUUAGUGCAGCUGAGUAUAUUUUCAGGUGGCUUUUGGUCACUGAAGUUUGCUCUCCCAUGAAUGCCUGUUUUAAUCUUUGCUCAUUAACCCCCUAUUAACUGCAGGAUGAAACAGAAAUUUCUUACCCUCACAAAUAGUACUCUCAGGGGAUAUAGGUUUAAUGGGACUUGAAGCUUAUCCAGUUUAAGCUUAUACUGUUACUAAUUUAUUUUUUUUUUUUAAUGUUACUUUCACACAUUUUAAAAGAACAUAGGAUCAUGUAAACACACUCCAUAGGGCCUUUCCCAGGCGUUGGAGGGCCCACGCACGAGGGAGGUUGGAAGUUUAAGCUUCAUUUGCAUUGAGGGCCCUUCAUAAUUUAGCUCCUCUUUCUCCACUUCACUUUGUCAUCCUGCAACCAGCAUACACUGAAAGGAUAAACGCACCCCAUUCUUCAGACACACUGUGCCUUUACGUAUCCUUCACCUUGAACCUGCCAUUUUUACUGUUACCUGCAUCCCCCUUCUCUCUUCCCACCCUGUAGACUUUACAGUCAGCCCAGGCAACAUCUCUUCUGUGAAUUCUUCCCUGACUCCCACAGUAGAUAGUCAUUCCCUCCACUGGUUAUACUUUAAAAAAUUAUGACAUGGUAUUAACCAUGUUACAUUGUAAAUUAUUGUAAAAUAUAUAACUCUUCUCCUAGACUGUAGGUAACUCCAGAGGACAGUACCUUUUUCCCCUUCUUUUUCAUAUAACAUUCAUAAAAUGAUUGAAAAUAUACUUAAUCAAAAAUAAUAAAGGAGAAAAGAGAGUACAGGACAGAACAAAAGAAAAAACUAAAUACAAUCCUAUUAUAAAAAGAUAAUCUCUGCUAAUAUUUUAUAC